RNAcentral lists this ribosomal RNA (253 nucleotides) under uncultured bacterium. RNAcentral's name for it is "partial 16S ribosomal RNA". It matches the Rfam family "Bacterial small subunit ribosomal RNA", at positions 524 to 776 of the family's 1533-position model. The record is from RNAcentral.
UACGGAGGGGGCUAGCGUUGUUCGGAUUUACUGGGCGUAAAGCGUGCGUAGGCGGUUCGCUAAGUCGGUUGUGAAAUCCCUGGGCUUAACCUGGGAACUGCAGUCGAUACUGGCGGACUAGAGUACGGUAGAGGGUGGCGGAACUCCGGGUGUAGCGGUGAAAUGCGUAGAUAUCCGGAAGAACACCGAUGGCGAAGGCAACCACCUGGGCCUGUACUGACGCUGAGGUACGAAAGCGUGGGGAGCAAACAGG